CACUACCCAGCCCGCAUGCUCCCACUCUUCGCUCCUCCUGUGGGCCUCCGACCCGCCGGAGUCCCCUCGCUGUGCACUUCUGUUUUCACAUCUCUUUGUGUGCCUCCGUUUCGGCACCCCGAGUCGGCGUUUUUCUCGCCUGGCAGAGACCGAGCUGAAAGAGAACCGCAGACAACUCCCGGAGUCAAAAGUCUGCGCAGAGGAGGCGCCCUCCGACAGAGGUGAGCAGCAAGCGUCCAGCUGCCUCUGCAGUGAGUGGGCGAAGGUUCCUGCCUCCCUGAGGUUGGAAAGAAACUUCGCCACAUGCAGGAACCUCGGAAGGCUUUUCACGGCUCUUUGUGUGAGCUGCAGGAGCGCAGAAAAGGCGCGCUGUGUCGGAAUGAUUUGGUUAAACGCGGGCACCAUGGGCUCCAACGAAGGGAAAACAGCCAACUAUCCCACCAAGCGACGUUUCGUUUGAAUUCCGGCUGAGCAACGUGGUUCACGCAAACCGGUUCAGAACCCUCCACGAAGACGUGGGUGACAUUCUUAUUAUUAUGGAUGUGCCCACGCAGAUGAGAGAGACGCGCUGGGAAAGAGAAGGGGGCCCACCCUCGAGGAGGAGAGAGUAAAUAGAUCAAAUGUUUGA
Fundulus heteroclitus (mummichog) is the source of this 628-nucleotide long non-coding RNA. RefSeq lists it as uncharacterized. Lineage: Eukaryota; Metazoa; Chordata; Actinopteri; Cyprinodontiformes; Fundulidae. The transcript has 5 exons. The record is from RefSeq and is a predicted model, not a curated record.